AACGAACGCUGGCGGCGUGGAUAAGACAUGCAAGUCGAACGCUGACUUCAGGGUAGCAAUAUUCUGGAGUCGGAGUGGCGCAAGGGUGCGUAACACGUGGGUAAUUUGCCGCGAAGUCUGGGAUAACUUGCUGAAAGGCGAGCUAAUACCGGAUGUGAUGUUUGGGAGGCAUCUCCUGAAUCUCAAAGUUGGGGACCGUAAGGCCUGACGCUUCACGAUAAGCCCGCGGCCUAUCAGCUAGUUGGUGAGGUAACGGCUCACCAAGGCUAAGACGGGUAGCUGGUCUGAGAGGACGACCAGCCUCACUGGAACUGAGACACGGUCCAGACACCUACGGGUGGCAGCAGUCGAGAAUUUUUCUCAAUGGGCGAAAGCCUGAAGGAGCGACGCCGCGUGGGGGAUGAAUGGCUU
RNAcentral lists this ribosomal RNA (411 nucleotides) under uncultured bacterium. Its description in RNAcentral is "bacterial SSU rRNA". It matches the Rfam family "Bacterial small subunit ribosomal RNA", at positions 29 to 418 of the family's 1533-position model. The record is from RNAcentral.